Long non-coding RNA from Aedes aegypti (yellow fever mosquito), 1341 nucleotides. RefSeq lists it as uncharacterized. The transcript is spliced from 3 exons. The record is from RefSeq and is a predicted model, not a curated record. NCBI's taxonomy places the organism in Eukaryota, Metazoa, Arthropoda, Insecta, Diptera, Culicidae.
CCUGGCCCCCAUAUGGAACUUUUACCCUAUGUGCGAAAAAGUCUGAGAAAAAGAUCAAUCCGAUUUGUAUGAGAAAAGUCAUGGGAAUCCAUUUCUUAGGUGACCCAUCUUGCCAAUCCUUACCCUAAUAUUGAGCACCACUAUCAUCACUCAAAAAAAUCGAAGCUUUUUUGCUGCACAGCUGAUGUUUGCGAUGUUUGUUCAAUGUACCCAUUAUACUCGCGAGAGCGAGAAUCCAAAGCAAAAAUGAUGUCAUUUUGUCAACCACUCCACCCAUGCCAAGUGUCGCGAAAAUUGCAACUGGGUACCGUAAGUUGACUCUAUACGCGAAUUAGGCGACAAGCAAGGUGCCGCCAUUAAAUUCAAAUUUCUCAAGUAGAAUCAAUUCGCACCAAACCAAACAACUAAAAUGCAAUACGGUACCGCAACGCCGACCAAUUCAUUCUGUGAAUAUGAUUUGUCGCUCGCAGAAAUUGUUGGACUGUCGCCAGCUACAUUGGAGGAGCAUUUCAAUGCCAAGACAUUCGUAGCUAAAAGAUACCCGCAUAGCUAAAAACGCUUUGAUAGGUUGUCCAAACAAUAUGUAAAACAUAAGUUAUACGUUAACUGUUUCCGUUAUUGUAGCCUAUUUGUUUGACUAUAAAUAUUUGUCAGUUAUUUACUGUAUCCCACCCUACAUCUACUAUUCCAUUACCGGUUAACGUACAGCUUGAUGUUAUCAAUUAGUUUUAUAUAAUCCACAUUUGAAAAUUAUGAACAAAUCGAUCAUAUAAAAACAUAUGUGGGUUGUAUCACAAAUGGUAACAUUUUGGGAAAACAUUCAUGGAUGGUUACAUACUGUUCACAAAACUGAAACAGUUGCCACACAUACAUUGAACAUUUUAUGGUUUCAGAUUAAACAUACCGUAAGUGGUAUGGUUAUGUGGCACUUGUGUGCGUUUGGCUAGUUCGGUGAAAUUUUUUCACCAGUCCGUUGUCAUAUUUGUUUUCAUUUCUUCGAAAAGCAUUUCGGGAGUCCCUGCAAGCUGUUGCAAAAUAUUCUCAGAAUUCCAUAAAUACGAUACAACAAUGCCACAAAACUCUGCGGGGACAUUAUUACGUCUAUCGAUGCUGGGCCUUAGAGCAAAAAAUGGAUCGCUGAACUUGAUUUUAGACCGAUUCGCAGCUUCCAGCAGUUGAGCAGUGAUGUUUUUGGUGAGGCUCAUUCGACGCAAUAAAGUUCCGGAGAUAGGAAACCUUGCCGCUGAAUGAGACGAGCCCAGCUGAAAUAAUUUUGUUUCAUUUUGCUUGGCUGUUAAAAUGUUGACUUUAGAUCGUUUAAAUACAUGUAAUGCUAAAAUA